RNAcentral lists this long non-coding RNA (748 nucleotides) under Equus asinus (donkey). RNAcentral's name for it is "lncRNA (ENSEASG00005028855.1)". Lineage: Eukaryota; Metazoa; Chordata; Mammalia; Perissodactyla; Equidae. The record is from RNAcentral.
CUGUUUCCUGGCAACCAGCUCACUACUCCCUGAAGGGCACUUUCAAGAAAGUUCAAUCAAUGGAAGGGUCAAAUGUUUUCUUUUUCAAACGUCCAUUUUGCAUGUAAUGGCUGCUCCAUGCAGAGUUUACGGGUGUUCUCUUGUUCAUGAGAUCUAGCGUCCUUCUGCACAAAUGCAUGUGCUAUGGGUUUGGGUGCUACAGCACAACAAUAAUCAUCUUUGUACAUACAUUGUCAUAUAUAUAUAUAUGCAAAUAGAUCCCCAGUAUAAAUUCUUGGAGAAAGACGCCCAUUGGUGUAGGAGUCUGCCUGAAACAAGACGCUAAACCGCCUGAGCAGCUAGGCCGCUAAUGAAUGCCUCUCCUCCCCAAGAAGCAAACGCUCCUGCUGCUCCCAGCUGUUUGGUAGGCUCCGACCUGCUACUGUCAGGUAACAAGAAGCCACAUCCUGAUUCGCAUCCUCCUCCCGAAACCCUGCAACUUCCUGAAUUCCCGUGCUCCUCAGGCGGGACUUCCUGUUGGAGAUGGAGCUAAAGAAGCUGAAAAACUCCUCCAUCCUUCCUAAGAUAGAUCUCAUUUAUGCAUGAGGUCAGACAAAUUUCCCUAAUGCUGCCCUUGAGGGGAUAUCCGGGGAUAACAAAGGCUGUCUUCCAUGCCUCUCCCCGAAUCGAGAUGUAAACCAGAAAACAUAAAAUAAAAAGCCAAAAAUCAUUCCAAAAAGUCGACAUUAAAUUGACAAAAAGACCCCGU